RNAcentral lists this ribosomal RNA (528 nucleotides) under uncultured bacterium. Its description in RNAcentral is "bacterial SSU rRNA". It matches the Rfam family "Bacterial small subunit ribosomal RNA", at positions 777 to 1304 of the family's 1533-position model. The record is from RNAcentral.
AAUAGAUACCCCGGUAGUCCACGCCGUAAACGUUGGAUACUAGGUGUGGCGUCCCGAUCAACGGAUGCCGUGCCGAAGCUAACGCAUUAAGUAUCCCGCCUGGGGAGUACGGCCGCAAGGCUAAAACUCAAAGGAAUUGACGGGUCCCCGCACAAGCGGCGGAGCAUGCGGCUUAAUUCGAUGCAGCCCGAGGAACCUUACCUGGGUUUGAAAUCAUGGGAAAAGCUGUAGAAAUACAGUGUCCGUAAGGGCCCAUGACAGGUGGUGCAUGGCUGUCGUCAGCUCGUGUCGUGAGGUGUUGGGUUAAGUCCCGCAACGAGCGCAACCCUUGUCCUAUGUUGCCAGCGGUUCGGCCGGGGACUCAUAGGAGACUGCCGGGGAUAACUCGGAGGAAGGUGAGGACGACGUCAAGGUCAUCAUGCCCCUUAUAUCCAGGGCUGCACGCAUGCUACAAUGGUCGGUACAACGGGCAGCGACCCCGCGAGGGUGAGCGAAUCCCACAAAGCCGGCCUCAGUUCGGAUUGGAGU